GAGGGUAUAGCUCAGUGGCAGAGUGCUUGCUUAGCAUGCAGGAGGUCCUGGGUUCCAGCCCAGUACCUCCA
This 71-nucleotide transfer RNA is filed under the name Camelus bactrianus (Bactrian camel). It matches the Rfam family "tRNA". From Rfam's summary of the family: Transfer RNA (tRNA) molecules are approximately 80 nucleotides in length. Their secondary structure includes four short double-helical elements and three loops (D, anti-codon, and T loops). Lineage: Eukaryota; Metazoa; Chordata; Mammalia; Artiodactyla; Camelidae. The record is from Rfam by way of RNAcentral. RNAcentral also lists the same sequence under 2 other names.